CCGGCCGCUACUGGAGAGUGAACGUGGACACAAUAGUAGCGCCAGCAGGUAGCUCCUGUGUUGUUGAAAUGGUCUAACCACUUUGAUUAAAGUAGAAAACUAGCAACAAUAAACAAGGAGAGAUUCUUGAAAGGAUGAAAGAGAAGUUAUACAACGUCAUGGAGCUGCCGACCCCGUCCAAACGGCGUGUGAAUUGAAUAUUCCGGCUGGUUUUUUGGUGAGACUCUACUAGAGACAGAACUGUGCUGCUCAAGUCACCGCCGUCAUACUGCCUCCUGGGUUUCAUCUUCAUCAUCACCAUCUUCUUACCGCUCACUAGACCUUCGCCAUCAUCAUCUCCACUACUCACAGGAUUUUCCCGUCGUUUCCCUACUCCAUUCUCUGAGGAGCCAGGAUGGACAGUUUUACCCUGCUAAGGGUGGUGGUAGGAACUUGAGUGCACUUAAACUAAUGAAACAGGGUUGAACAAAGACUGAUUUAGUAUUCCCCUGGUUAUCUCUAUGAAAUGAGAGAUCUCAGUUUUUUGUUAAUUUGGUUUUACAUUUCUAAUUUUCUUUGUUUUUGAUAUUUAAGUUGUGGUUUGAGUACAUUGGGUUUGAACCUAAUUGGCCUAUCUAAAUUUGAUUACCAUACUGAAUCAUUUAGUUUAGCCAUGCUAGACUUCUGGUAAAAGAUUAUUUUGCAUAAUCUCAAAUUGAAAGUAGUACUGGUUGUGGGUGCAAUUAGUUUCAUGCCCAAGGUAGGAGUUAAAUGAAGACAGGGGUGAAAAAAAAUAACACUACAGUUAAACAAAGUUACUCUGUUGUUGUGAGUUUAAACUAAAUCUCAGUCUAUCUUAUUAUGUUUGUAACUUAUGUUUGUAACUUGAAUCUUGUAUUAUCUUGCUCUUUUUAAAUACAUAGUUGUUUAAAUAAAGUUGUGCUGGUUGUUUU
Perca flavescens (yellow perch) is the source of this 932-nucleotide long non-coding RNA. RefSeq lists it as uncharacterized. Lineage: Eukaryota; Metazoa; Chordata; Actinopteri; Perciformes; Percidae. The transcript has 2 exons. The record is from RefSeq and is a predicted model, not a curated record.